AGCGAACGCUGGCGGCAGGCCUAACACAUGCAAGUCGAACGAACCUUUCGGGGUUAGUGGCGGACGGGUGAGUAACACGUGGGAACGUGCCUUUAGGUUCGGAAUAACUCAGCGAAACUUGUGCUAAUACCGAAUGUGCCCUUCGGGGGAAAGAUUUAUCGCCUUUAGAACGGCCCGCGUCUGAUUAGCUAGUUGGUUGAGGUAAUGGCUCACCAAGGCGACGAUCAGUAGCUGGUCUGAGAGGAUGAUCAGCCACAUUGGGACUGAGACACGGCCCAAACUCCUACGGGAGGCAGCAGUGGGGAAUCUUGCGCAAUGGGCGAAAGCCUGACGCAGCCAUGCCGCGUGAAUGAUGAAGGUCUUAGGAUUGUAAAAUUCUUUCACCGGGGACGAUAAUGACGGUACCCGGAGAAGAAGCCCCGGCUAACUUCGUG
This 434-nucleotide ribosomal RNA is filed under the name uncultured bacterium. RNAcentral describes it as "partial 16S ribosomal RNA". It matches the Rfam family "Bacterial small subunit ribosomal RNA", at positions 29 to 507 of the family's 1533-position model. The record is from RNAcentral.